AAAUGCAAAUGAAAUAUGUUUAAAUAUUCAUACCUUAAAUGUUUUAUAGCAUUGUCUGACUUCAGUGUGCUGAAAACUGUUGUUUCAAGCUGGUAUGACAGCAACCGAUGUCUCCCUAUGCUGAGAGUGUUGUUCAGAGACAAGGUGGACAAUCAAGAGCUAUCAAAAGUAACUGACACGAUGGACUUACUGAAUAUAUUAUUUCAACGUGGUCAUCUAAGUUCACAGAAUUCCGAACUCCUGUGUGAUACUAUUAGCAUAACCAAACAUUUGGGUAUUCUGUCGAAUAUUAAAGAAAAACUGCCAUCAUUCCCAAAUGUUGAGGAAGGAAACAUUUCCAAAACAUUCACACCUCACAGACAAAAGUUAAUGAAAUUUGGAAUGGAACUGACGACAGCCAAUGUGACACAGAUUGAUGGAUUGUAUAAUACGCCUUGUAAGAGGUAUGCAGACAGCUGGGAAAUGAUCAGCGAUCUUGAAGACAGACAGAUAAUCAGCAAAGGAAAUAUGAAAGCAUUCACUGAUUCGUUGACAAUCCUAAAUCCCACUGGAGGAGUGAACAUAACAGAAGCAUUGUCUGACUUCAGUGUGCUGAAAGCUGUUGUUUCAAGCUGGUAUGACAGCAACCGAUGUCUCCCUAUGCUGAGAGUGUUGUUCAGAGACAAGGUGGACAAUCAAGAGCUAUCAAAAGUAACUGACACGAUGGACUUACUAAAUAUAUUAUUUGCACGUGGUCAUCUAGGUUUACAGAAUUCUGGACUCCUGUGUGAUACUAUUAGCAUAACCAAACAUUUGGGUCUUUUUUCGAAGAUCAAAGAAAAACUGCCAUCAUUCCCAAAUGUUGAGGAAGGAAACAUUUCCAAAACAUUCACAUCUCACAGACAAAAGAUAAUGAAAUUUGGAAUGGAACUGACGAUAGCCAGUGUGACACAGAUUGAUGGAUUGUAUAAUACGCCUUGUAAGAGGUAUGCAGACAGCUGGGAAAUGAUCAGCGAUCUUGAAGAGAGACAGAUAAUCAGCAAAGGAAAUAUGAAAGCAUUUACUGAUUCGUUGACAAUCCUAAAUCCCACUGGAGGAGUGAACAUAACAGAAGCAUUGUCUGACUUCAGUGUGCUGAAAGCUGUUGUUUCAAGCUGGUAUGACAGCAACCGAUGUCUCCCUAUGCUGAAAGUGUUGUUCAGAGACAAAGUUGAAAACGUAAAGCUAUCAAAAGUAACUGGCACGAUGGACUUACUGAAUAUAUUAUUUGCACGUGGUUAUCUAAGUUUACAGAAUUCUGGACUUCUGUGUGAUACUAUUAGCAUAACCAAACAUUUGGGUCUUUUGUCCAAGAUUAAAGAAAAACUGCCAUCAUUCCCAGAUGUUGAGGAAGGAACCAUUUCAACAAAAUUCACACCUCACAGACAAAAGCUAAUGAAAUUUGGAAUGGUACUGACCCUAGCCGAUGUGACACAGAUUGAUGGAUUGCGUAAUAUGCCUUGUAAGGAGUAUGCAGACAGCUGGGAAAUGAUUAGCGAUCUAGAAGACAAACACGUUAUCAGCGAAGAAAAAAUGGAGGAAUUCAUUGAUUCGUUGAAAACCCUGAAUAUUCCUCUGGCAGUCAACGCUCUAACAUAAGGUAUGUUAGUCUAAUCUGCAAAAAUACUGUUUAGACAUCUGUGCCCCUUCUCAGCUGAAACGGAGAUGUCCAGAUUGUGUUGAUAUAAGUAUCAAACUGGUACGAUAACAGGAAUUGGAUAACAGGAAUUGGAUAACAGGAAUUGACGAACAUGCUGAAUUAUUGCACAAGGAUAAAGUGAAAAUUGCCGGUGAUCUGCUAAGAUCCACUACCAUGUUUGACAAGCUAUUAAACUGCAAUGGAAGUUUUAAGCUUGGUUUCCAUACAAUUGCUGACAGCUUGUGUUGAUGCUGAUUUGUCGGUCGAAUCGGGGGCCUUCUCAAUUGAGUCGGGGACUGCUACUCUGCACAACGAUUGCACUGAAAACACUGUAGCGACAGUGUAGCGAUUGUAUGGAAACCAGGCAUUUAACCGACCAACUUUAAAAUCCUAGUGGAUACGAUUAUUGUUACUGAUACCCGUGGUGUUGUAGAAGGGGAAGUCAGUGAUCUACUGUGUAACACAUUCCACGAAACCAAUGUGACGUCAAUUUCAGUUCAUCAGCAGAAUCUGAUCAAACUCGGUUGAGUAGACCUAUCGCAAAAUGACGUAAAGAUGCUGGGUGGUCUUUACGAUUUACCACCGAGUCGACAAAGAUCAGUUGACUCUCUGAUACUGAAUCUUGAGAGGAAUUCGUAAAAGGUAAAAUGAAGUCAUUCAUUGACGAUCCAAAGAAAAUUGAACUGAAUCAUGCAGCUAGAAUUAGAAAAUGAAGAAUCUAUGACGACAUCCAUGACGACAUCUAUGAUGACUGAAUUAAUGGAAAAUGCAAUGUACAUCUCAUCCAGGCAAGGAGAUAAUUGAACCGAACUCGAAAACCAUCCACUAUUAAUUAGACACAAGAAACUGACAAUUAUUUUUAUUGUAUAUUUUCUCUAAAAUGACUAUUCGAAACACUGAAGUAUGCUUGACAAAUAUCUCAAUAUGUUGUGUAUAUAUAUGAAUAGGCCUAUAUUAUAGUUGUGUGUAUAUAUUUAGUGGAAAACAAGAUAAUAUUAUUUCCUAUGAUUUACCAGUUGCUACCUAAGCUAGUAGGUAGCUUAGAAAUCUGCUCCACUAUGUAUAAGCCUUUAAGUUGUAUAAAUGGGGAGAGACCAGUAAUAACAAACUCAGGACCAUCCACUAAUAAUCAGACUCAAGAAACAGACAACAAUUAAUCUUUAUUGUAUAAUUUUAUCUAAAAUGAAAAAUCAUUUUUACCACAAUUUAUUCAAUUAAGAAUUCAUUAAAUUAAGAAUUAGAUAUGUAUAUA
This 2909-nucleotide unclassified non-coding RNA is filed under the name Anneissia japonica. RNAcentral describes it as "uncharacterized LOC117112963, transcript variant X2". Lineage: Eukaryota; Metazoa; Echinodermata; Crinoidea; Comatulida; Comatulidae. The record is from RNAcentral.